RNAcentral lists this ribosomal RNA (301 nucleotides) under uncultured bacterium. Its description in RNAcentral is "partial 16S ribosomal RNA". It matches the Rfam family "Bacterial small subunit ribosomal RNA", at positions 509 to 809 of the family's 1533-position model. The record is from RNAcentral.
CAGUAGCCGCGGUAAUACGAAGGGGGCUAGCGUUGUUCGGAAUUACUGGGCGUAAAGCGCACGCAGGCGGCUUGACAAGUCUUGUGUGAAAUCUAUGGGCUCAACCCAUAGUCUGCACGGGAAACUGUCGGGCUUGAGAAUGGGAGAGGUGAGUGGAAUUUCCGGUGUAGCGGUGAAAUGCGUAGAUAUCGGAAGGAACACCUGUGGCGAAAGCGGCUCACUGGACCAUUUCUGACGCUGAUGCACGAAAGCUAGGGGAGCAAACAGGAUUAGAUACCCCCGUAGUCCCUGUCUCUUAUAA